This 19-nucleotide non-coding RNA is filed under the name Arabidopsis thaliana (thale cress). Lineage: Eukaryota; Viridiplantae; Streptophyta; Magnoliopsida; Brassicales; Brassicaceae. RNAcentral also lists the same sequence under 1 other name. The record is from RNAcentral.
UCUGCCCAGUGCUCUGAAU